GAUGAAGAACGUAGCGAAAUGCGAUAAGUAAUGUGAAUUGCAGAAUCCAGUGAAUCAUCGAAUCUUUGAACGCACAUUGCGCCCGCCAGCAUUCUGGCGGGCAUGCCUGUUCGAGCGUCAUUUCAACCCUCGACCUCCCCUUGGGGAGGUCGGCGUUGGGGACCGGCAGCACACCGCCGGCCCUGAAAUGGAGUGGCGGCCCGUCCGCGGCGACCUCUGCGCAGUAAUACAGCUCGCACCGGGACCCCGACGCGGCCACGCCGUAAAACACCCAACUUCUGAACGUUGACCUCGAAUCAGGUAGGACUACCCGCUGAACUUAAGCAUAUCAAUAAGCGGAGGA
RNAcentral lists this unclassified non-coding RNA (343 nucleotides) under soil metagenome. Its description in RNAcentral is "partial contains 5.8S ribosomal RNA, internal transcribed spacer 2, and large subunit ribosomal RNA". The stretch from base 1 to 120 matches the Rfam family "5.8S ribosomal RNA", at positions 35 to 154 of the family's 154-position model. The record is from RNAcentral.